UACAGAGGUCUCAAGCGUUGUUCGGAUUCAUUGGGCGUAAAGGGUGCGUAGGUGGCACCGUAAGUCAGGUGUGAAAUUUCGGAGCUUAACUCCGAAACUGCAUUUGAUACUGCGGUGCUUGAGGACUGGAGAGGAGACUGGAAUUCACGGUGUAGCAGUGAAAUGCGUAGAUAUCGUGAGGAAGACCAGUGGCGAAGGCGGGUCUCUGGACAGUUCCUGACACUGAGGCACGAAGGCCAGGGGAGCAAACGGG
Molecule: ribosomal RNA, 253 nt
Filed under: uncultured bacterium
Lineage: Bacteria
Description: partial 16S ribosomal RNA
Rfam family: Bacterial small subunit ribosomal RNA
Source: RNAcentral